UGACCUCGCUUAGGCAGAAGGUAACCAAAACUGGAAAGAUUGCAGAUUCUUUGGCUGGCAUUUUGAAGGUCCAUGACGAACAGGAAUUACAUGACAUACACAGAAAACGUACAACUGUUCUCCAAGCACUUCCUGUGUUUCUGCGAGAGGAUUGGUCUGGAUUUUUAAGAACAUGCAAGGAUAUUGAGGAGGCAAAGCUUGUGAGUGCACCUCUGGCCCUUAUUACAGUGAACAGGGACAACACCAGCCGUCCAGUUCACUACCAACCUGAAAAAUUCUGGGUUGUUAUUGGAAGUGAAGUUGUGAUUAUCCUUCUCAGAUUUGUGGAUGCCCUUGUGGUAAUGUCCAGUCUCAUAUAUGCUCGACCUCUUAGUUAUCUAAGUUAUCUAGUUUGAAUUCUUUCAAAAGAUUUUGUUUAGUUUGGAAGAUGGCAAAUUGUCACCCAGACUGCAGACUCUCAAAAUGAUUUGAUGGUAAAUACAGCUAGAAACUGAUCAGAGAAAAUGCAAACAAUAUUGAUGUCUAACCUUUAGAGAAGUGUAUUGAAAAAUUGCACUUGUGGAAAUGAGUUUGAUAUGUAAUAUACGGAGUCACAAUAGUUGUUAAAUGUUGCCUGUUUCACUCUGUCUCGUCACAAAUGUUGUACACGUAUUAAAUUGCCCUUCAGUCUGAAAAUUGUUAGACUCUGUAGCAUAAUGGCACGAUUGGGAACACUAAAAUCCUGUAAUCCAGAGCAUUUGAUCUGACACUGAGAGGUAGCCAUUACAAGUAUAAGAAGGUAAAAUUAAAGAAGGUUAUGUUAUUUUAUGUAACCUGUUGCACUGUCUGUGUAUGUUUUGUAUUUUUAUUACAGCAUUUUAUUAAUGUUGCAGUAAAUGUUCAAAUAAAACUUUUGAAUGACAAUAGUACAUCCCUGAGUUUUAUUUAAUUAA
Polypterus senegalus (gray bichir) is the source of this 932-nucleotide long non-coding RNA. RefSeq lists it as uncharacterized. The record is from RefSeq and is a predicted model, not a curated record. NCBI's taxonomy places the organism in Eukaryota, Metazoa, Chordata, Cladistia, Polypteriformes, Polypteridae. The transcript is spliced from 3 exons.